AGCUUUGCGCAGCGGCAGUAUAGUAGCCAAUGAGGUUUAUCCUAGGCACAAUUAUUGCUAAUUGAAAGAGACUAUGUAUCACUUGCCAAAUUUGGAUUCCUAAACUCCAGACAAGACUGGACAGAACACAAAUGAAAACAGG
Lutra lutra (Eurasian river otter) is the source of this 142-nucleotide small nuclear RNA. RefSeq annotates it as U4 spliceosomal RNA. The transcript has a single exon. The record is from RefSeq and is a predicted model, not a curated record. Lineage: Eukaryota; Metazoa; Chordata; Mammalia; Carnivora; Mustelidae.